UAGCCCGGUAAUUCCAGCUCCAAUAGCGUAUAUUUAAGUUGUUGCAGUUAAAAAGCUCGUAGUUGAAUUUCGAGAUCAAAUUGUUGGUCGUGCCUUGGUACGCACUGGCAUUAUUGGUUUCUCCCUUCUGAAGAACCAUGAUGUCAUUAAUUUGGUGUCUUGGGGAAUCAGGACUGUUACUUUGAAAAAAUUAGAGUGUUUAAAGCAGGCUCGCGCUUGAAUACAUUAGCAUGGAAUAAUGAAAUAGGACGUUUGAUUCUAUUUUGUUGGUUUCUAGGAUCGACGUAAUGAUUAAUAGGGAUAGUUGGGGGCAUUAGUAUUCAAUUGUCAGAGGUGAAAUUCUUGGAUUUAUUGAAGACUAACUACUGCGAAAGCAUUUGCCAAGGAUGUUUUCAUUAAUCAAGAACGAAAGUUAGGGGAUCGAAGACGAUCAGAUACCGUCGUAGUCUUAACCAUAAACUAUGCCGACUAGGGAUCGGAUGAUGUUAAUUUUUUAAUGACUCAUUCGGCGCCUUACG
Molecule: unclassified non-coding RNA, 518 nt
Filed under: uncultured Glomeromycotina
Lineage: Eukaryota; Fungi; Glomeromycota
Description: SSU rRNA
Rfam family: Eukaryotic small subunit ribosomal RNA
Source: RNAcentral